GGCGCUGUAGCUCAACUGAAUAGAGCAUCUGACUACGGAUCAGAAGGUUUUGGGUUUGAAUCCCAACAGCGUCA
Molecule: transfer RNA, 74 nt
Filed under: Prevotella sp. CAG:617
Lineage: Bacteria; Pseudomonadati; Bacteroidota; Bacteroidia; Bacteroidales; Prevotellaceae
Rfam family: tRNA
About the family: Transfer RNA (tRNA) molecules are approximately 80 nucleotides in length. Their secondary structure includes four short double-helical elements and three loops (D, anti-codon, and T loops). Further hydrogen bonds mediate the characteristic L-shaped molecular structure. tRNAs have two regions of fundamental functional importance: the anti-codon, which is responsible for specific mRNA codon recognition, and the 3' end, to which the tRNAs corresponding amino acid is attached (by aminoacyl-tRNA synthetases). tRNAs cope with the degeneracy of the genetic code in two manners: having more than one tRNA (with a specific anti-codon) for a particular amino acid; and 'wobble' base-pairing, i.e. permitting non-standard base-pairing at the 3rd anti-codon position.
Source: Rfam by way of RNAcentral